UUAUGGCUCAGGAUGAACGCUGGCGGCGUGCCUAACACAUGCAAGUCGAGCGAUUCUCUUCGGAGAAGAGCGGCGGACGGGUGAGUAACGCGUGGGUAACCUGCCCUAUACACACGGAUAACGUACCGAAAGGUACGCUAAUACGAGAUAAUAUGCUUUAGUCGCAUGGCUGAAGUAUCAAAGCUCCGGCGGUAUAGGAUGGACCCGCGUCUGAUUAGCUAGUUGGUAAGGUAAUGGCUUACCAAGGCGACGAUCAGUAGCCGACCUGAGAGGGUGAUCGGCCACAUUGGAACUGAGACACGGUCCAAACUCCUACGGGAGGCAGCAGUGGGGAAUAUUGCACAAUGGGCGAAAGCCUGAUGCCAGCAACGCCGCGUGAGCGAUGAAGGCCUUCGGGUCGUAAAGCUCUGUCCUCAAGGAAGAUAAUGACGGUACUUGAGGAGGAAGCCCCGGCUAACUACGUGCCAGCCGCGGC
Molecule: ribosomal RNA, 475 nt
Filed under: uncultured bacterium
Lineage: Bacteria
Description: bacterial SSU rRNA
Rfam family: Bacterial small subunit ribosomal RNA
Source: RNAcentral